GGAGGCCCUUCUAUGGUGCCUAACCUUAUGGGACCAUUUAGUUCUAGAUAUGUGGCCCUGCACUGCAACCGUCGAGGGAGAAGAGACGUUCAAGUAGCCUUCAGAAUUGGCAUGCUUGCUAGUCAACUUACUAGAGAAGAAAUUCAUAACAUUUUUGGGGAGUACAACCUGCCACCGUAUCUGCUCGCUUACACACCGAAGGAACACAUACGGGCGAAU
Molecule: unclassified non-coding RNA, 219 nt
Filed under: Hevea brasiliensis (rubber tree)
Lineage: Eukaryota; Viridiplantae; Streptophyta; Magnoliopsida; Malpighiales; Euphorbiaceae
Source: RNAcentral